Molecule: small nucleolar RNA, 138 nt
Organism: Ornithorhynchus anatinus (platypus)
Lineage: Eukaryota; Metazoa; Chordata; Mammalia; Monotremata; Ornithorhynchidae
Source: RefSeq, a predicted model, not a curated record
AGCCUCUCAAGAUGGUACCUGGAUAGUUUCCAGUAAUUUACCAGCCUCGGCUACAGGAGGGAGAGUCAAGCAGAGGUAUAUCCAUUCCAUUCCUACCUUGGGCAGUGGCUAGCGAGUGGAAGGCAAUCUGCUACAAGU